AUUUUAGAGUGAAAUUAUUUAAAUUUGAAUUACAAAGAAAUUGUACUUUUUUAUUUAAAGAAAUUGUAAUUAAGUGAGCCAGUGAGCCAACCCACCAACCUUUGAUGGGCUGGACCGGGUUUGAAUUUUUUCAGCUUGCUAAUAAAUGAGCUAGGUUGGUUGGCUCACUAAGUGGUCAACCCGUGGUGGGCUAGGCCAGGUUGUGUCGGGUGGUCCAUUUUGAUAACACUACCUCUAACCAUACCAUCAACACUCGGUACAUCAUUGCCCCUGCCCCAAACUCGCACCCCACUACUCAAGUCCCUACUAAAUCACCUGCCGCAUAGGUAUCCUGGCCUAUGAGCUCAAUCUUCUCACUACCUCACACAUCCACCCAGUGUUUCACAUUUCACUAUUAAGACCUAUUAAAGGAAGUCAUCCCUUCAAAACCCCAUUCCAAAAACUCAACUUCUAAAACCCUCCACUUAACUCAUGACUAUCAAACCUAUUAUAUUUUCAAUUCACUUCCCCACCUACCACUUUAACUCCACUGUCUACACUCUCCAAUGAAAACAUGCCAUCUCAACCCAAUCCAAUUGUCCCAUACUUUAAUUUUUCACUUAACCCCCUUUUGCCACUCAUGUCCACAACCAUCCAGAACAUUCACUAACCACACGCACAAAACCCUAGUCUAAUAACCACUCACUCAAAGCAAACUACACCGACCUAAUUUCCCCUCAUUUUCCACUUUGAGGGCAAAGUGAUACAAUUUAUCAAGGAAAGAAUUCUUAAGAGGCACGAUAAGAAUAAAUCAAAGAAAAAUGCAGAAUAAGAAAAGAAUGAGGACACCACAAUCUAGCAGAUUGAAUAGUCAAGUGAAGAUUCACCACAAAGAUUUUAAUCUUUGAUAAGAAUUAGAGUUUUAAUCCAAGAGUUC
RNAcentral lists this long non-coding RNA (916 nucleotides) under Vigna radiata. RNAcentral's name for it is "long non-coding RNA (VRAD_LNC008892)". Lineage: Eukaryota; Viridiplantae; Streptophyta; Magnoliopsida; Fabales; Fabaceae. The record is from RNAcentral.